This 744-nucleotide ribosomal RNA is filed under the name uncultured bacterium. Its description in RNAcentral is "bacterial SSU rRNA". It matches the Rfam family "Bacterial small subunit ribosomal RNA", at positions 8 to 796 of the family's 1533-position model. The record is from RNAcentral.
AGAGUUUGAUCCUGGCUCAGAGCGAACGCUGGCGGCAGGCUUAACACAUGCAAGUCGAGCGGGUGUAGCAAUACAUCAGCGGCAGACGGGUGAGUAACGCGUGGGAACGUACCUUUUGGUUCGGAACAACACAGGGAAACUUGUGCUAAUACCGGAUAAGCCCUUACGGGGAAAGAUUUAUCGCCAAAAGAUCGGCCCGCGUCUGAUUAGCUAGUUGGUGAGGUAACGGCUCACCAAGGCGACGAUCAGUAGCUGGUCUGAGAGGAUGAUCAGCCACAUUGGGACUGAGACACGGCCCAAACUCCUACGGGAGGCAGCAGUGGGGAAUAUUGGACAAUGGGGGCAACCCUGAUCCAGCCAUGCCGCGUGAGUGAUGAAGGCCCUAGGGUUGUAAAGCUCUUUUGUGCGGGAAGAUAAUGACGGUACCGCAAGAAUAAGCCCCGGCUAACUUCGUGCCAGCAGCCGCGGUAAUACGAAGGGGGCUAGCGUUGCUCGGAAUCACUGGGCGUAAAGGGUGCGUAGGCGGGUCUUUAAGUCAGGGGUGAAAUCCUGGAGCUCAACUCCAGAACUGCCUUUGAUACUGAGGAUCUUGAGUCCGGGAGAGGUGAGUGGAACUGCGAGUGUAGAGGUGAAAUUCGUAGAUAUUCGCAAGAACACCAGUGGCGAAGGCGGCUCACUGGCCCGGUACUGACGCUGAGGCACGAAAGCGUGGGGAGCAAACAGGAUUAGAUACCCUAGUAGUCC